This 496-nucleotide ribosomal RNA is filed under the name uncultured bacterium. RNAcentral describes it as "partial 16S ribosomal RNA". It matches the Rfam family "Bacterial small subunit ribosomal RNA", at positions 28 to 506 of the family's 1533-position model. The record is from RNAcentral.
GAUGAACGCUGGCGGCGUGCCUAAUACAUGCAAGUCGAGCGAACAGACGAGGAGCUUGCUCCUCUGACGUUAGCGGCGGACGGGUGAGUAACACGUGGAUAACCUACCUAUAAGACUGGGAUAACUUCGGGAAACCGGAGCUAAUACCGGAUAAUAUAUUGAACCGCAUGGUUCAAUAGUGAAAGACGGUUUUGCUGUCACUUAUAGAUGGAUCCGCGCCGCAUUAGCUAGUUGGUAAGGUAACGGCUUACCAAGGCAACGAUGCGUAGCCGACCUGAGAGGGGGAUCGGCAACACUGGAACUGAGACACGGUCCAGACUCCUACGGGAGGCAGCAGUAGGGAAUCUUCCGCAAUGGGCGAAAGCCUGACGGAGCAACGCCGCGUGAGUGAUGAAGGUCUUCGGAUCGUAAAACUCUGUUAUUAGGGAAGAACAAAUGUGUAAGUAACUAUGCACGUCUUGACGGUACCUAAUCAGAAAGCCACGGCUAACUACGU